This 253-nucleotide ribosomal RNA is filed under the name uncultured bacterium. RNAcentral describes it as "partial 16S ribosomal RNA". It matches the Rfam family "Bacterial small subunit ribosomal RNA", at positions 524 to 776 of the family's 1533-position model. The record is from RNAcentral.
UACGUAGGUGGCAAGCGUUGUCCGGAAUCACUGGGCGUAAAGCGCGCGCAGGCGGCGAUCUACGUCUGGGGUGAAAGCCCGGAGCUCAACUCCGGGACUGCCUUGGAUACGGGAUCGCUUGAGGAUUGGAGAGGCAAGGGGAAUUCCACGUGUAGCGGUGAAAUGCGUAGAUAUUCGCAAGAACACCAGUGGCGAAGGCGGCUCACUGGCCCGGUACUGACGCUGAGGUGCGAAAGCGUGGGGAGCAAACAGG